AGAGUUUGAUCCUGGCUCAGGACGAACGCUGGCGGCGCGCCUCAUACAUGCAAGUCGAGCGUGAAGCGGGACUUCGGUCCCGUGGAAAGCGGCGAACGGGUGCGUAACACGUGAGCAACCUGCCCCAAAGACUGGGAUAACCCGGGGAAACCCGGGCUAAUACCGGAUGUCCUCCUCCGAUCGCAUGGUGGGAAGAGGAAAUGUUCAGGCGCUUUGGGAUGGGCUCGCGGUCUAUCAGCUUGUUGGUGGGGUAACGGCCUACCAAGGCGACGACGGAUAGCUGGUCUGAGAGGACGAUCAGCCACACUGGGACUGAGACACGGCCCAGACUCCUACGGGAGGCAGCAGUAGGGAAUCUUGCGCAAUGAGGGAAACCUUUGACGCGGCGACGCCGCGUGCGGGAUGAAGGCCUUCGGGUUGUAAACCGCUUUUCAGCAGGGACGAAAUUGACGGUACCUGCAGAAGAAGGCCCGGCCAACUACGUGCCAGCAGCCGCGGUA
This 500-nucleotide ribosomal RNA is filed under the name uncultured Actinomycetes bacterium. RNAcentral's name for it is "bacterial SSU rRNA". It matches the Rfam family "Bacterial small subunit ribosomal RNA", at positions 8 to 522 of the family's 1533-position model. The record is from RNAcentral. Lineage: Bacteria; Bacillati; Actinomycetota; Actinomycetes.